This is a non-coding RNA of Spodoptera litura, 1785 nucleotides long. Lineage: Eukaryota; Metazoa; Arthropoda; Insecta; Lepidoptera; Noctuidae. The record is from RefSeq and is a predicted model, not a curated record.
AUUUAUUUUAUCGGGGGCCGGUCGCAGAAUAGCUGGUACAAUAUUGUUUUCAGUUCAAUAGUUUACAAUAUACGUGACCACGUCGUUCGGGUUUCCCACGAGGCAAAUCAGAAUUCUCAAUGUUUUUUGAUUAGUUCAAUUUAUUCAGUAGCCAGUUGAGGCAACGACAAGUGGUGCUUUUUUUAAUAUUUUUUCUAAUACACAAGGAGUGAUAUAAAGUGCCUUUGUCUAUAUAUUUUAUUAAUACUUGUGAGUGCUAUAAACAGUAUGACAACUGCGAAUCUAGAAAAGGCUUUCGUAAUCCUCGCGAAAGCAACUGAAGAAGAUGACAAGAAGAACUAUGAAGAAUCAUUCCGAUAUUAUGUGCAAGGCAUAAUUUAUUUACUCCAUGUUACUAAAUAUGAAGCGAAGGGAGAUUUGAGCAAAGAGCACAUAAAGGAAAUUACUUCAGACUACAUAGAUAAAGCUAAGAAGGUCAAGGAGUAUCUUGAUGCAAAGAAGACUAAUGAGAGCGAAUAUUUGGAGGAUUUGGAAGAUCGAACCACAGAUAGUGUAGUCAAUGUUAUGGUUGAAUUAGUUUGUAUGUUUGGAGAUACUACGCCGACUCCGGUAACGGUUAAUGAAAAUAGCAGUGCAAAACACGAACAAUAAUUAAUUACCUAAAUGCUUCUAAGCUACGCUACGUGAUUUCUUUUUUCAUUAGAAGGGACAAAUAUAAGACAUAACAUAAAUAAAGGAUACAAUAAACAUCUUGACAACAUAAUGGAAAAUACUAGUAAUACUUUACAAAAAGCCAUUGAAAUCCUUAAUGAAGCUACAGAAGACGACAAGAAUAAAUACUACGAAGAUGCAUUACCCACAUACGUACAAGGUGUAAUUUUUUUACUUCACGUUGUUAAUCAUAAUGUUGAUAUCCCUACCGCUACCAUGAUAGCAAAAUCGAAGUCGUUAGCGUACAUGCAAAGAGCUAAAAAACUUAAGGACCACCUAGAAAAGCAUAAGAUAAUAACAGUGAAUAAAUACUUAGAUGAUUUGGAAACCAUUACUGACAGCGAUAUAGUCAACGUUUUGUUUGAAACAAUUUGUUUAUACAAAGAAUCUGAAGAAGAAUCAACGUCAGUUCCUAUAAACAUCUUGACAACAUAAUGGAACAUCCUAGUAUUACUUUACAAAAAGCUAUUGAAAUCCUUAUUGAAGCUGCAGAAGAUGACAAGAAUAAAUACUACGAAGAUGCAUUGCCCACAUACGUAAAAGGUGUAAUCGUUUUACUUCACGUCUUUAAUCAUAAUGUUGAUAACCCAACCGCAACCAUGGAAGCAAAAUCGAAAUCGUUAGCGUACAUGCAAAGAGCUAAAAAACUUAAGGACUUCCUAGAAAAGGAGAAGAUAUUAACAGUGAAUAAAUAUUUAGAUGAUUUGGAAACGAUUACUGACAGCGAUAUAGUCAACGUUUUGUUUGAAACAAUUUGUUUGUACAAAGACUCUGAAGAAGAAUCGUCGUCAGUUCCUGUAAGUGAAAGUAAUUCUAGCCUUCAUUAAAUACUUAUCCUUGUUGCUUUGUUUUUUUUUUAUCUCUUACCAAUCUCCAAACGAUACAAACUUCUUUCUAGACCUAGGUUUUCUUUCAUUUUUAAACCGAUUUAAACAAAAACGGGGAUGAAGUCGGUUUUUUUAAACAAUAGAAGAACUAUUUUCCUUGGAUGGAAAAGAAGAACUAUUUUCCUAAUCUUAUACUUAUUAGACCUACUUUUUGCUCAUAAUUUUCCAAAAGGUUCAAACGUUCAAU